RNAcentral lists this unclassified non-coding RNA (2094 nucleotides) under Ooceraea biroi (clonal raider ant). RNAcentral's name for it is "uncharacterized LOC105280164, transcript variant X4". The record is from RNAcentral. Lineage: Eukaryota; Metazoa; Arthropoda; Insecta; Hymenoptera; Formicidae.
GAUCACCCAGGUAAAGCUCCUUUUAAGAAACAUGCACGUGUUACGAAUGCGCGGACUAUACUGAAGAACGCGUGGACGUACUGCUUGGAAAAAUCAAUAGCGCUUGCGCGAAGUUCGGUCAAGAUAUCAUGACAUGACUAUUUUUCUGUGAGAAAUAAAUAUUCGUCGUACUGUGGUUACGGCGUCGAAUCGAUCGGUUAAUCGCCCACUUUUCUCUCCCUCUCGCAAGUUGCGCGAAAAUUAUUUCUAUAGCAUUUUUAUUUCUGCAUCAUUUCGGUAAUAUUAUAUGGCAUGUUCUUUAGCACUUCUAUACUAUUGUAACAUUUUGUUUCACUACAUCGUAGUUAAUAUUUCAUGUUACCAUAGGUCAGUACGUUUAUGACAAAUUUUAAAAAUUGUCUAAUUUUAUAAAAUAAGAUAAAUUGUUUGAAUUAGAUAAUUUGCCCCGUAGGUAAUUUAGCUUAUACGAAAAGAGACAUAUUCUACAAUAUUCGAGAUAUAUUUCAGAAAGUGAUAUAUAUGACCUCCGAUCGACGUAUCGUUCUCAAAUGCAGUCGAAUGCUUGAAGAAGGAUGAUACGUAUAGUUAAACAUUUUAGACUCCAACGAAUUUUACUACUUGCUAUUGGUUUAUGGCCUUACAACCAAUCAAAUUUUGUUCAAUUUCAGUUUUUAUUAUUUUCGAUUGUUUCAAAUAGCUUUAUUAUAUUUCAGCUAACAUCGAUUAUAACUUCCGAAUGUACUGUGGAUUUUAUUGUAAAACUUCUGUCUAUAGUUUCCUUUUCUCUCGCGUCCACAGCUCACUACAUUGCUUUUUGGAUUAACAUAUACACUGUGAAGUGUUUAAUGGAACGUCUCCAGUAUGUCUGUAACGAAGUAAAAGAUGAAAACGAAAUCACUAUAAUAAAGAAAUAUGCAAACAGUGCGGAACAUAUCUCGAUUUUCGUUACAUCGUGUACGGUGUUCUGCUUAUUGACUAUUACUCUUAUGCCACUUUUCCCGCGGAUUCUUAGCACCUUUCUACUCGUAAAUAUAUCUCGACCACUUUACACUACGCAAUUCGUAACUGAAUAUUUUGUUGAUAAAGAAAAGAAUUUUUAUUUAAUUUUGCUACACACGCGCACAUCCUUUUACAUAGGAAUGAUUGCAAUCGUGGGGGGAGGUUUGGUAGGAUUGGCAUUUCUUAAACACAUUUGCGGACUAUUUAGCAUUGCUAGUUAUCGUAUAGAACACUCAAUAAGAUCAAAUAUUCAUGAAAAAACUGAUCUGAGGAACGAGAUGGAAAUCGAGAAGAAGAUAAUUUGUGCAGUGGAUAUUCAUCGCACAGCUAUUGAGUUGUCUGAAUUCUUCAUAUCUAGUUUCGAGGGACCAUAUGUUUGUCACAUGGUGUUAGUCGUAACAAGUUUAUGCCUUAAUCUAUACGAAAUAUUUCAAACUGCACUGAUUCGAGAUAAAGUAGAAGAAUUUUUAUUACACUCUGGGUUUGCAUUUGGUUUGCUUCUAUAUUCGUUCCUCGCCAACUCUAGCGGUGAAGAAAUUACAGAGCAUUAUAACGACAUGUUUUCUUGCGCAUAUAAUGUUCGGUGGUAUACAGCUCCCAUACAUAUACAGAAAUUAAUAUUGUUCCUGUUGCAAAGAAGGUGUAAACCUUACGGGCUCAAAUUAGGUGGAAUUUUUACUGCAUCUUUAGAAAGCUUUGCUUCGUUAUCAACUGCAUCGGUAUCUUAUUUUACUGUUAUAUAUUCUACACAGAAGUGAUACAACUAUCAAUCACAUAAUAGUAAAUAGAAUGGAAAACAAUUACAGAAAAUAAUCGAAAUAAUAUUUGAGGAAACAAAAUGUUAUGCAACAGGGUUAUUGAAGUCACAAUGUGUGCAUGUAUAAGCAAGGAGUACAAUUGUACAAGAUCAACAAGGCAACACCCGUUCUAGAAAACAAUUAUAUGCUAAGAAUGCAUGGAAUAAAAUGAAAAAACAUGAAGACGUACUGGUUGGAAAUGUCAAUUGCGCUUGCACGAAUUUCUAUCAAGUUAUCACGAUUAUUAUGAUUAUUUUUUCUGUGAGAAAUAAAUAUCCGUUGUACUAUUAUUACGGCA